UUACCUGGUUGUUUUUGCACAGAUCUGCCCACAUGCUAGUGCCAUCCCCUCCUCUCAUCAGGACAUGGUAGGUGAAGAAGUAUAUGCCAGGUAUGGAGCAGGUGAACUUGCCAGUGGUGGGGUCAUAGUGAUUGCCCAAAUUGGUGACCACAUCAUCGAAUUUGAGCAGCUCAUAGCCCUCGUGCUGGCGUUUGAGCCCAGCAUAGAAGGCUAUCUUGGGCACAGUACUGUAAGUGGCAGCACUAAUAGCCCCAGCAGCGUUUAGCCCAGGGUUCCCAGCUGGACCUGGAAGCCCUGGUCUCCCCACCUCCCCUUUAUCCCCCGGAGGUCCCAUUGGUCCAGGUGGCCCUGGUUCUCCAGGAGGUCCCCGAGGUCCAGCUUUCCCUGGUCGCCCGGGCUCCCCCUUGGGUCCCUGUAUGAAGGUGGGCAGUGACUGGAGAAGGCUGUGCUCCCGAACCGUCUCUGCUGUAGCAGUACUGGGAGGUUUGGUCCCAUAAGGAUCGCAGACCAUGCGGCACGUUCCCAGCAUCUCGUAGUGAGCCGAUGUCCCAGCGGAGUUGACCAGAACCGGGAUGAGGACCACCAGAAGAAGCACCAUGAUCACCCCCAGCGCCCCGGCGGCCACCAGCCUCUUCCUGGCCACCAGCCGGCUCAGAGCUGGCCGUUCCUCCUGUCUGCUUUUCGACGAAAUCUUGAAGCCUUACUGAGAACCUCCACUAAAUAGAAAAUAAAACUAUUCUCCUGUCCUGGCUGCCGGCACCUGGACCCUGUGCUGGUGGACAAUGACCAGGAGUCAGGAGGUCUCCAGCCCUGUCCUGAAGAUGUCCUGCUCAGAGAGAUCUAUCUGGGUCCUGUCUCUGGACCCUCAGGUGAAGCAGUCCUGCCCAACUUUGCUUCCUCAGUUCAGUUAUCUCUCUCUGAGUUCAAGGGGGGGAGGGAGGGGGACUGGCUGUCUGUGUCCCCUUUUUCCCACAGGGGAGUUGGCUCGUUCUCCUACCUGGGUGGUCCUCUCUAUUGUCACUGAUGCUGCGAUCACACUGAUACAAUGUGUCCCAUCACCAGGAAUCAAAUGGAACGUUGAUGUAUCUCUCACCUCUUCGCUCAGACUCCAGUACCAUGAGCUGCCUUAAAACCCACGUGUAGCAAUCACCGCCUCCCAGCCCCAGGGCUGAGCAUCUUCUCUUCAACUAAUAGGGAUCGACUUUUAUUCUGCAAACUCUGCCAGUUCAGUUCAACUUUCCUCAGCUGCUCCUUUUCUGCCUGUG
Pelobates cultripes (western spadefoot toad) is the source of this 1265-nucleotide non-coding RNA. NCBI's taxonomy places the organism in Eukaryota, Metazoa, Chordata, Amphibia, Anura, Pelobatidae. The record is from the annotation of a GenBank genome assembly.